RNAcentral lists this ribosomal RNA (245 nucleotides) under uncultured bacterium. Its description in RNAcentral is "partial 16S ribosomal RNA". It matches the Rfam family "Bacterial small subunit ribosomal RNA", at positions 524 to 767 of the family's 1533-position model. The record is from RNAcentral.
UACGUGUGGUCCGAGCGUUGUCCGGAAUGACUGGGCGUAAAGGGUGUGUAGGUGGAUUUGCAAGUCAGGUGUGAAAUCCCUCGGCUUAACUGAGGAACUGCGCUUGAAACUGCAAGUCUUAGAGCAUGUCAGGGGUAAGCGGAAUUCCCGGAGUAGCGGUGAAAUGCGUAGAUAUCGGGAAGAACAUCGGUGGCGAAGGCGGCUUACUGGGACAUUGCUGACACUGAGGCACGAAAGCGUGGGGA